UGGACAUUGGAGCCAAUCCCUCUGCUGAGGGUGGUGGUGACGAUGAGGGUGUCGAUGACCAGGCCGUGAAGGUGGUUGACAUUGUUGACACCUUCCGUCUUCAGGUUGCUUGCUCUUUUUGAUGCUCUUGACCUAUCUACAGCGUAUGCACUUGAUGAUAGUGCUAAGCCGUCGUGACCUUUUGCAGGAGCAACCUGCUUUUGACAAGAAGCAGUUUAUCUCUCACAUGAAGCGCUACAUCAAGAACCUCACUGCCAAGCUUGAAGGGGAUGACCUAGAUGUUUUCAAGAAGAAUGUUGAGUCUGCCACGAAGUAUCUUCUUAGCAAGCUCAAGGACCUUCAGUUGUAAGUUCUCUCUUUGCCUUGCUCAAAAGUGCAGGCACUGUUUAUCAUUGAUCUGUCCAGACACGUUAGUACUUUAUUCUUACUUUGGUAUUUUAGAUGCUGGUAAUUUAUUCUAUUGAACUUAAAUCAGUGACGGGAUUUUUUUAUAUUUUGGGGAAGGUAGUAAUAAUCUAUCUAUUCAACUUGCGCAAGUUCUAAAACUGGUGUUUCAGCUUUGUUGGCGAGAGCAUGCAUGAUGAUGGCGGCGUGGUGUUCGCGUACUACAAGGAGGGAGCUGCUGAUCCAACUUUCCUGUACUUUGCACAUGGGCUGAAAGAGGUCAAGUGCUAAUGGCACAGUAUGCUAAAAUCUUUGGGGUCGUCAGUAUUUUUGCUCUGCUCUAUGUAUGGUUGUCAGUCGACUCUCCAAUGUUGGUGUCAGUAACUAUCAGAUGUUAAGUGUCUCGAAAACUUUCUGAUAAUUGUGGUAUUUGCUUUGUAAUGGUAAUCGUGAAAUUGGUGUGGUUGUGUUUUGGUCAAUGCCUCGGCUUUUACUCAAUAGUUGAAACAAGAGAUUUUGCCCUGUGAUUCUAUCAGAUUAUCUUGUGUCUUUUGUAACACAGCAAAUGAGCAAAGCAAAAUGAUCAAUCAUCGUUUGAUAAGAAUCAUUUGAAAUCAAGAAC
RNAcentral lists this long non-coding RNA (1006 nucleotides) under Triticum aestivum (bread wheat). RNAcentral describes it as "long non-coding RNA (TAES_LNC003072)". The record is from RNAcentral. Lineage: Eukaryota; Viridiplantae; Streptophyta; Magnoliopsida; Poales; Poaceae.